AUGUACCACUCGUACACUGUCGUUCCUGCGCGCCGUCCGCGCCCACCUGACGGCUGCUCGCUACGUUUUGUUAGCC
This 76-nucleotide small RNA is filed under the name Xanthomonas arboricola. RNAcentral's name for it is "sX9 sRNA". It matches the Rfam family "Xanthomonas sRNA sX9". Lineage: Bacteria; Pseudomonadati; Pseudomonadota; Gammaproteobacteria; Lysobacterales; Lysobacteraceae. The record is from RNAcentral.